GAUGAACGCUGGCGGCGUGCUUAACACAUGCAAGUCGAACGAACCUUCGGGUUAGUGGCGGACGGGUGAGUAACGCGUGGGAAUCUGCCCUCAGGAGGGGGAUAACGGUUGGAAACGACCGCUAAUACCCCAUAUGCCGAGAGGUGAAAUGAGUUUUCGCCUGAGGAUGAGCCCGCGUCUGAUUAGCUAGUUGGUGUGGUAAUGGCGCACCAAGGCUUCGAUCAGUAGCUGGUCUGAGAGGAUGAUCAGCCACACUGGGACUGAGACACGGCCCAGACUCCUACGGGAGGCAGCAGUGGGGAAUUUUCCGCAAUGGGCGAAAGCCUGACGGAGCAACGCCGCGUGAGGGAUGAAGGCCUCUGGGCUGUAAACCUCUUUUAUCAAGGAAGAAGAUCUGACGGUACUUGAUGAAUAAGCCACGGCUAAUUCCGUGCCAGCAGCCGCGGUAAUACGGGAGUGGCAAGCGUUAUCCGGAAUUAUUGGGCGUAAAGCGUCCGCAGGCGGCCUUGUAAGUCUGUCGUUAAAGCGUGGAGCUUAACUCCAUUUCGGCGAUGGAAACUACAAGGCUAGAGUGUGGUAGGGGCAGAGGGAAUUCCCGGUGUAGCGGUGAAAUGCGUAGAUAUCGGGAAGAACACCAGUGGCGAAGGCGCUCUGCUGGGCCAUAACUGACGCUCAUGGACGAAAGCCAGGGGAGCGAAAGGGAUUAGAUACCCCUGUAGUCCUGGCCGUAAACGAUGAACACUAGGUGUCGGGGGAAUCGACCCCCUCGGUGUCGUAGCCAACGCGUUAAGUGUUCCGCCUGGGGAGUACGCACGCAAGUGUGAAACUCAAAGGAAUUGACGGGGGCCCGCACAAGCGGUGGAGUAUGUGGUUUAAUUCGAUGCAACGCGAAGAACCUUACCAGGGUUUGACAUCCUGCGAAUCCCUUGGAAACGAGGGAGUGCCUUCGGGAGCGCAGUGACAGGUGGUGCAUGGCUGUCGUCAGCUCGUGUCGUGAGAUGUUGGGUUAAGUCCCGCAACGAGCGCAACCCACGUCUUUAGUUGCCAGCAUUCAGUUGGGCACUCUAGAGAGACCGCCGGUGAUAAACCGGAGGAAGGUGUGGAUGACGUCAAGUCAUCAUGCCCCUUACAUCCUGGGCUACACACGUACUACAAUGCUACGGACAAAGGGCAGCAAACUCGCGAGAGCUAGCAAAUCCCAUAAACCGUGGCUCAGUUCAGAUCGUAGGCUGCAACUCGCCUACGUGAAGGAGGAAUCGCUAGUAAUCGCAGGUCAGCAUACUGCGGUGAAUACGUUCCCGGGCCUUGUACACACCGCCCGUCACACCAUGGAAGUUGGCCACGCCCGAAGUCGUUACUCCAACCCGCAAGGGAGGAGGAUGCCGAAGGUGGGGCUGAUGACUGGGGUGAAGUCGUA
Molecule: ribosomal RNA, 1417 nt
Filed under: Synechococcus sp. NAN
Lineage: Bacteria; Bacillati; Cyanobacteriota; Cyanophyceae; Synechococcales; Synechococcaceae
Description: bacterial SSU rRNA
Rfam family: Bacterial small subunit ribosomal RNA
Source: RNAcentral